Molecule: unclassified non-coding RNA, 814 nt
Filed under: Melitaea cinxia (Glanville fritillary)
Lineage: Eukaryota; Metazoa; Arthropoda; Insecta; Lepidoptera; Nymphalidae
Description: misc RNA ENSMCXG00005014545.1
Source: RNAcentral
UACAUGUGUACAAGCACGCAGGCGGGUCAAGCCGCGAGAAUCAAUUAGUGUAAUAUUUAAACUAUCGUUUCGUACUUUUGAUGUUGUGCGUACACUGGAGAAUAACGUCCAUUCUCCAGCAACAAUGUUGAAAUCAGUAUUUUACUUAUGUAUUCAACUAGUUUUCUGUUGCCUUAUAAAGUGCAUUAAUUGUGAAAUCUAUACAUAGUGAGUGAUUUUCCUAUACUUUAUUACUAUAAAUGCAGACAUAAGUUUAAAAAUAUCGUCGCCGACAUAAGCGAAGACGUCGAAUUAAGAAGAAUAUUUCCAAGUGAAUUUCCUCAGGAUACUAUAAGAAAAAGUGGCAUUUUGGAUCCUGAACAUCUAGGUCGUUAUCUUGAAUUAAGUAACUAUUUUAAAUAUCCGAAGUCUAAGUUGAACAGUCAUUUCGAAGAAUUAGAUUGUUAUAAUAAUGAAAAUGGAAGAAAAGUAUGUAUGAUAGACACAAAUCAAUUUUCACCUGAUGAAGAACAAUACAUGGCGUCAGAUCUUACAAGUUAUACUGACAGACGUAGAAUAUACUGUUUCAUGCUAUUGUGCUUUAAUGAAGAUGAGCUUGAUAGGGUUGUCGCUUCUUUUUAAAAAAUAAAUUGCAAGUUCCGAUGUAAAUCUACAAGCAAAAACGUUAUUUAAGAAAAAAGUGUAGUUUUUUUAUUUAUAAAACACCGCUUUUUUAUAAAAUUUUACGUUAGAUUAAAUGUUCUAAUUCAAUUUCAUAAUUUUAUUUUUGAUUAAUAAAGUUGUAUCGCGUAUUUCAAAAGUGUUUUACUAAAAA